ACCUGGGUGGCUCAGUCAGUUAAGCAUCUGACUUCAGCUCAGGUCACGAUCUCAGGGUUGUGGGAUCGAGUCCCACAUCGGGCU
Molecule: transfer RNA, 84 nt
Filed under: Ailuropoda melanoleuca (giant panda)
Lineage: Eukaryota; Metazoa; Chordata; Mammalia; Carnivora; Ursidae
Rfam family: tRNA
About the family: Transfer RNA (tRNA) molecules are approximately 80 nucleotides in length.
Source: Rfam by way of RNAcentral